This 534-nucleotide ribosomal RNA is filed under the name uncultured bacterium. RNAcentral describes it as "bacterial SSU rRNA". It matches the Rfam family "Bacterial small subunit ribosomal RNA", at positions 28 to 610 of the family's 1533-position model. The record is from RNAcentral.
AACGAACGCUGGCGGCAGGCUUAACACAUGCAAGUCGAACGCCCCGCAAGGGGAGUGGCAGACGGGUGAGUAACACGUGGGAACGUGCCCUAAGGUUCGGAAUAUUCCCGGGAAACUGGGAGCAAUACCGAAUGUGACCGCAAGGUGAAAGAUUUAUCGCCUUAGGAUCGGCCCGCGUCGGAUUAGCUAGUUGGUGGGGUAAAAGCCUACCAAGGCGACGAUCCGUAGCUGGUCUGAGAGGACGACCAGCCACACUGGGACUGAGACACGGCCCAGACUCCUACGGGAGGCAGCAGUGGGGAAUCUUGGACAAUGGGCGCAAGCCUGAUCCAGCCAUGCCGCGUGAGUGAUGAAGGCCCUAGGGUUGUAAAACUCUUUCGUCGGGGACGAUAAUGACGGUACCCGAAGAAGAAGCUCCGGCUAACUUCGUGCCAGCAGCCGCGGUAAUACGAAGGGGGCUAGCGUUGUUCGGAUUUACUGGGCGUAAAGCGCGUGUAGGCGGGUCGUUAAGUUGGGGGUGAAAUCCCGAGGCUC